RNAcentral lists this ribosomal RNA (496 nucleotides) under uncultured bacterium. RNAcentral's name for it is "partial 16S ribosomal RNA". It matches the Rfam family "Bacterial small subunit ribosomal RNA", at positions 29 to 507 of the family's 1533-position model. The record is from RNAcentral.
AUGAACGCUGGCGGCGUGCCUCAUAUCUGCCAGUCGAGCGAACGGACGAGAAGCUUGCUUCUCUGAUGUUAGCGGCGGACGGGUGAGUAACACGUGGAUAACCUACCUAUAAGACUGGGAUAACUUCGGGAAACCGGAGCUAAUACCGGAUGAUAUUUUGAACCGCAUGGUUCAAAAGUGAAAGACGGCCUUGCUGUCACUUAUAGAUGGAUCCGCGCUGCAUUAGCUAGUUGGUAAGGUAACGGCUUACCAAGGCAACGAUGCAUAGCCGACCUGAGAGGGUGAUCGGCCACACUGGAACUGAGACACGGUCCAGACUCCUACGGGAGGCAGCAGUAGGGAAUCUUCCGCAAUGGGCGAAAGCCUGACGGAGCAACGCCGCGUGAGUGAUGAAGGUCUUCGGAUCGUAAAACUCUGUUAUUAGGGAAGAACAUAUGUGUAAGUAACUGUGCACAUCUUGACGGUACCUAAUCAGAAAGCCACGGCUAACUACGUG